Molecule: long non-coding RNA, 17954 nt
Filed under: Homo sapiens (human)
Lineage: Eukaryota; Metazoa; Chordata; Mammalia; Primates; Hominidae
Description: non-protein coding LINC-PINT:27
Rfam family: mir-29 microRNA precursor family (bases 12686-12755)
Source: RNAcentral
AGUAUUGCAAUGUCUCUUGGAAUCAUGGCUCUGAAGAUGAGGAGAGAAGCGGGAUGGGCAGUUUGUGUGGUGAGGAGGCUGGCUGCAGGUAGGCUGGGAGGGAAUGUCACACAUAGUUUUCUUUCUCCUUUAAGCCGAAUGAGGUAUGCUGGUCAAAGGAACUUGGGGAAGGAGGAUGGUGAGGGGAAUGAAGUUCUUCUUCCUAUUGAUUGUUUUGUUGCACCAGAGGCUGUUUGUCCAAGGCCACUGGCCAAGAGCAUUAUUUUCGUGGCUAAAGUGAGGUUGGGCAGGUUUCCCAUCCCUUUCACUAGUUUUGAACAAGACAACCCAGAAAGCGCAGCAAGGCUCUGGGAAUAUGAUGUGGGUUGGCUUUUCCUACUCAGCUGCACCUUAAAGCGCCAGGCCGAUGGGCUGAUACUUCUCAAACCCUGAAUCAUUGCCUCCAGCUCUGUCCUGGGUUCAGGAUGCACCACUCCACCCUCUGUGUAGCUUGGGGUCAACUUCGGGGCGUCACUCCAAUAGUAAUUAUUGCUGCGUUUGGCUGGACAUCCUUAUUACGGCCUGGGUCCCUCUCAGCUGGAAACUGGGCUCCUUCAGUUUGGCUGGGGUGACUUCUAGCACUUCCCGCCGCCCCACCUUACCCCCCUGCGCGCUCCCUUCCCAAGGCGACCACCUGCACCGCCCCACUUACCAUCUGCCCCGCGGGGAGGGCCCCCCGGGCUAGCGGAGCCCUCCCUGCUCCCGGGCGGCUCUGGAGGAGCUCGGUGUUUGCCUCUAGCCCUUCGCUACCGGAGGAUCAGGUUCCUCCCCUCCUCCCCCUCCAGCUCCGGCCGCCGCCGCCGCCGCCGCCGCCUCCUUCUUGCAUGACACAGCAGAACCGCAGCUGCUGCAGCAAUUUCAAGCCAUCCGCCCAGGAAGCGCCGCAACCGGGACUCGGGAGGGGUGGAGGGGGCGAGGCAGAGGCCGCGGCCCCAGGGGAUCCUUGGCCCCACUGUGCACCACACACUCCUUUCCCAGCCCAGGGGCACGCGAACAAAAUGAGGCUCAAGCUGACCAGGCCGAGCCGGAGGAACGCUGGGGCUUGGCAGCAGAAGGGAUGGGACCAGAGAGAAGGGUGUGGAGGAGACCCCAGUGAGGGCCAGGACAUUUCAGGUAAAGAGAGGUCAUAUCUCCGUACCUCACUUCCUGACACAAACAAGUUUUCACUGUUGUCAGCAACAAAGCCCUAAUAUAGCUGCGGAAGAGAAAAACUGCAUUGCAUUUUGCCUCCUGCAAGCAUCAUCAACAGUUACUGGAGGAACGUAAUUCCAGAAAGCUUGAAAGCCGUGGUGAUGGUAAUUAUGUAUCAAAUGCCUGGUUCUAUUUCUGUUAUUAUUGUUUUGUCAUUUCUGUUUUCCCAGCGAUCUGACUGAACUCGCAGAGGGACAAAUCCAGUUUUUCUUUUUGACUUUUGUCAAACUAAAUCAGGCCUGAUAGAAAACUCAUUGCUCUCCGGGGAAACAAAGUAGGAGCCACGAAAUGUCAUUUUAACAGAGCGUGGGUUUGGUGACUGUAGGAAAGGAUUUGAGGACGCUCCUUCUGUUCGGCUUCCUAUGUCAUGAGCACAGGCUCCACGCACGCACAGACACCACGGCUCCCGGAUGCUGUGGCUCCCCGAUCGGGGCUCCUGCAGCGCCAGAAGCCCCUCCGGGAUGCUUCGAGGGGCUCCCGGUGGGUGGAGGUACGGACGCCGCUGCGGCCGCCGCCGCCAGUCCUGCUGCUGUUGUUGCUGCUGCAGUCACGUGGGAGCCCCUUUAAGUUUCCAUAGAGAGGCCUCUCUGGUGUCACAUGAUGGACAUGAUAUAAUGAAACAACAUUGUGGAGAGGAAAGCAUUAGGGGAGCCCACGGCUACAAAAACAAGUGAGUGAGAAGAGGUGGGAGGAAGAGAAACUACGCCACCUCCCCUGCAGCCGAGUGCACGCAGCAGCCUGGCGUGACAAGUGGGCGACGCCGGGGGGCAGGGAGCCGGGGUCCUUGGCCCUGGCCGGGGACCCCACCGCCCACCGCGCGGAGGACAACUUUUAGCCGGCAGCCCAGACCAGCGCGGCACCUGUCUCCGGAGUCUCCACCGCUCCUCCCGAUUCAUCCCAGGGAAAUUCUCAAGAAUACGCUCUACAAAUCUACGUGCGCAUCAUUUUCACCUCGCGUCGCGCCCGGGAGGAAGGAACGAGGCAAGGAGCUAAAGCAGCGUGCGUUCAGCCCUGGGGCAUUUUAUUAAUGCUUUUACGAGUUAGAAGAGUUGGGAUAAUUUGCCAUCUGGAGUUUCUCUGCCUUGCUGAUCUGAGCUCAGACCUGCCAAUUUACCAGAGAUAAUUGAUAACACCCUGUAACAGCUGAGAGGAAAAUGGAAGAAACGGAGAUACUUUUAGUGAAGCAGAAUAAACCACUGAACAGGAAAAAUGAGGAAGCUGUGAGUACCAGUGGAAGGAACGAGCCAGGAAGAGGGACUGGAACCAUCUCAGAAGCCAUGCCCCUCAGGCUGGAACUUGCCCUGUCUCCUCGCAGAUGAGGUAGGAGGCUCAGCACGGGCUGGUGGGAGCAGCCCACAGCAGCAGUGAGGGUCAGUGGGCCUGUGAGUUAAGAAGAAGGUGGCACAGAGCGAGGGUCUCUGGAUCCUGACUGUUUGACUUUUCCAUGAUUAGGAUAAGUAGCCAGGGCUUGGCUAGUUGGAGAGUUACUCGAACCUCAGGUGACAGUUGUAAGGCAGCACAUAGUGAAAAAGAGUCCUAGCCUGGGAAAGUCCAAAACCUUAGGUCUGGUUUCAGUUCACUCACCUAUCUCUGUGACAUAGCAAAGUCUGUUAAUUUCUCUAAUUUUCUGAUUAGUAGUAUAGUUGCAGGAAUGAAAUAAAAAUGGUCCUGAUUACUCAGAGAUUCAUUUACUGAUUACUCUUUUUGUGACCUGAAUAAAGAGUACAACAUCUCUCAAAAGGUAACAAUAUGAUGUUUCAGGAAAUUAGAGAAGUUAAGAGACUUUGCUGUAUUUACUAUACAGAUAGUUGACUGACAGCUGAGCCCGGACCCAAGAUUCAUUUAUAAAAUGAAGGAGUUGAGAAGUACAUACUCUGAGGUUUAUCCUAAAUAAACUGAAGUCUAGGCAAGUGGCUGAGCUAGGUUUGCCAUGAAUCAAUCUGCUGAGUAUAUUUCUUGGUAACUAGUUCAUCUUUCCUUAAUUCAGUCAACAAAUAUGAUAUCAAGUUUAGUAAGAUGAUGACAGUUGUCAUGUAAUACUCCAUCUGGAAGAUUGUAUGCUUCUCAGCUUCCCUAACUUUUCUUAAUCUACCUUAAGCUUCCUUUCUGAAAGGUUUCUGUCUUUCCUAACAGUCUCUUCUUUCCGCCAGCUACCUCUUGUGUUUAAGAAUUAAAGGAAGAUGAGCUAGGAAUCAAGAAAUACGCAGAACUGAUUCCUGUCACUGGCGCCACCCUGCCACUUGCCCAGAGCUGUGGUAUAAAUUUUUUUAAUAGGCUGAAAUAAAAAUAUGAAUAGCAUUUUGGUAUUAAGCAUUAAAUUGAUAAAGGCUAUGAGAUACACCUGCUCUCAACCAUGUUAAUUUUUUAUUAUUGGUAUUAAUAAAUUAUUACUUACUAACAUAUUAACAAGAAUUGCAUUGAGAAACAAAGCAUCCACAGGCCAAAUCUUCUGAAUUUCAAAUGUUUAUAUUAAUGCGUUGUAUUCUAGAAAAGUAGAAUUGUCUUAAGUAGCUUUGUAAUAUAAAGUCAUCUAUCAGCCCAUUACACCUAUUAGAAUGUUUUAACCUUUAUUUCCCACUUUUUUGUUUCUAGACUGAGUGUACUUGGUCUGGUAUUUGUGGCAUAACUUACGGAACACAUAAGAAUGAUACAGAUACUAUUUAAUGAUGACCUAAUACAAGCUUAGAUAGCUAAGGUGAAAGCUUCUAUGGCCUUAACAUUUUCCUCUUGAAGAAUGUAUUUUCUGUAAUAAAAUACAGUGGCUACUUGAAAUCUAUAAACUUAUGUGAGGUCUGGAUAAAUCUGAGCAACUUUCUUCUUUGUGCUCCAGGAACCUACGCACUAUAUAUAUAAAUAAAGCUUAAGUAAACAUCACUGCAAUCUGUGUUUUGUUUGAUUAUAUUACGUAUUGCCUGAUCUUUAAAUAAUGAUGAAAAAUAGCCUUUAACAUAAACCAUGAAUGGAUAUGCACUUGAGGGAAACAGUUUCUUGGAUAAUUAAACUUUAAUUUCUCACCGUGGAUUCCUUGGAUCUUGUAAUAUUUUUUAAAACAGUCCUGGGGAUUUAUUUUUAAGGCGUCCAAAUGAAUUAUUAGUUCUCAAAAGCCAUAGUAUAUUCAUGGGUCGAUAUAUCCUCAAAACACUAUUUUUAAACUGCUUAGUUUAUUUUUCUUAGCGUGCUCAUCUGCUGCAUAAUUUUCUUUGCUAUGUAUGGGUCACAUGCUUCCUCCCGUCCAUAACUCACGCACUUAAAAUUCUCACUUCCUGAUUGAGCCAUCAGAUUACGUAAAAUGUAAAUCAGCCUGAAUACCUAGGAGCAGGAAUUUUAAGGGAGAAAAUGCCGUUUUCUUUUUCUGUGUCAUUAUUAACCCUUAAAUAUCAGAGUGAGUGUCUGCUCACCUAUUUGUAUUUGGAAACGAGAUACUGUUAGGGGUUUUUCUUGGCCCUUCCCUUUCAGAUUGAAUCAGACUUUGCUGCUUUCCUUAUACAAAAUAAUGUACCAACUAGAUAGACGGUGGGAGUGGUAUCGUUGCAGGAAUGAAACCAAAAGGGUUCCGAUGAUUGAGAGAGAUUCAUUUAUUUUUUAACUCUUCUCAUGAUCUGAAUGAAGAGUACAGCAUCUAUCAAAAGGUAACAACCUAAUAUUUCAGAAUUGCAAGUGGCCAUUUAGCCUUUCUGCUGCCUGAUAUAAAUGAAAGUAAUUCCUAGCAGGCAGGAUGACACUUGUUUUAUCACGAAUCUGACAAUCCAGCACAUUUUCUCAAGCAAUUUUGAAGUUGUCGUAGUAACAGCAUGGCAUUUGGAGGGUCUUUUUAGUAGUUCUUUAGCUAGAGUUAAUUAAUUGUAUUAACUCUGGAUGUUUUUCUUUUUACUCCUCUUUGACAAACAAGGGCUAUAAUUGCUCAAAUAUGUAUUUUGUGUUCUAUAUUUUUUGGUGACUAUAGUUUAAGGACGUGAUGUUUUUAAGUGGUUUCAGUAAAAGGUUAUCAGUUGAUUUCAGACACAUUAAACUUGGGUUUUUAAUUUCUCUGUAAAAUUCCACUAUCAUUGUAGGACCAGGAUUUAGUUUUAUUUAAGAAGUGAAUCUGGGGAGAUAUUUGCACAAAUUGAAUUGUGGCUUGCUUCCAGUGGUUGCAACUAUCCGUUGCUUUGAUUUUGGUGUAUUUAGAAAAAGAACUGGGGAAUGCAGAAAGGGAAAUGUGUCAGGCUUACAGGAGAAAAUUGUUUCUUUAGAAAUGCAACAGGCAGGCACACCACCAAAAGCAUGUUCCAUAAAAGAAAACAAAUAAAUUUGAUUUUGUGAAACUUAAGAAUGCAGUGCUCUUUGAAACUCUAAAAUAUACUUAAAUAAAUUCUCCCCUAGGAAGAUUUGUGGGAACUUUUUAUUGGUGGAAAGUAGGUUGGAACUUCUAGUAUUAAUAGUAAAACUCUGUGGCAGAAAUUCUUGCCAAUAUGGCGGUUGGUGAGAAAGGAAUCCCGUUUCUUGGGCAGGGAGAGGGUCAGAAGAAAGAAUUGUCUGUACUCAGUCUGGAUGCCGGGACUUAAAAAGUAUCAGAUAUACAAUGCUUUUGUUUUCUUGUAUAAGUGAACAGAGAGAUGUGACACUUCUAAAAGGUCUUGUGAGUUUUGUGGGUUUAAUGCUAAUGCCACUAUCCUUACUGUUCUGUGAGUAUUUGUUCAGCCACGGGUGAUUCAAGAGAGUUGGGGUAUCAGCAUGUGCAGCCAACAGCAGUCCAGGUGCUAAUGCACCACCGGUGAUGUCAGGAGUUACGAGACAGCGGUUUCCAAACACUGCAGUAAACAAGGUCAAAGUGUCCCGUUUCGCUGGAAGAAGUUUUGUUUUUAUGAGCUGGACAGUACAUGGAUGAAGUAAUUUUUCAAAACAAACUUUAAAUUUAUACAUGUGUUUUUUUUCUUCUUCUCUUUGGAUUAAAAUAAAUUGGCCCGUUGAGAUUAAAUAAUGGUUAUGUUUUUAAGCAGAAUUAUAUUUCAUAUGUUUUUCCAGUCUUUUAUUGAUUUUCUGUUUUUCACAGAAGAAAUGAAAAUAACUUCUGAUGUAGGGUUUCUUAAAUGCAGUUUGAGAGAGCAAGAUAGGAACCAGUACUUUCAAAAUAUGGCAAGUGCAAGUCACAAUCCCUAGUAAGAUAUUCCUUCUCAUUUUGUGCCUUUGACUCUUAUUUAGACAGACGUUUAAGUACGAGAAAGCUAAUGGCGCAGAUUCUGCUGACUGUGUGGCUCUCGUCUUAAUGCGUUUUCCAACCUUGAACCUGAGAAUGCCAGAGGAUUGAGUCUCUGGACGUUCAUCUGAGCAGAUAUCUGCUGGCCGCCUGGUUCCUGAGCUAACAAGUGGGUGUCCCGGGCUUGUGUGUGUAGUCACAACAGUGGAGGUGCCACGUGGCACCCAGAGGUCGACUGGGGCUACCGCGGGGCUUCCCGAUCCUCACAAGUGUGUCUUCAGUGUCUGACAUGAACUGGGAACUUGGGGCAUCUUUAGAAGCACAGACAUUUGGAGUUCCACGGCAAACCUGGAUGUAAGCACUCACACAGCUUUUAAAGUGAAAGCAGGGACCUUGAGGAAGGAAUCGCCGUCAUCUCAUUGCCGACCUGCUUACUGUGCUGGGAAACAAAGUGCAGGUCUUCUGAACAAAUGCCUCCUGAGGAUUUCUGUGCCUGGAAAAUAUCUGUUAACAGACUGCUUUUACACCUACUUUGUAUUUUUAUAGAGACGAGACUUCACCAUGUUGGCCAGGAUGAUCUCAAUCUCUUGACCUCGUGAUCCGCCCAUCACAGCCUCCAAAAGUGCUGGGAUUACAGGCGUGAGCCACCGCACCCGGCCUAUUACCCUCAUUUUACAGAUGAGGAGACUGAGGCACAGAGAGUUAAAGUGAUUUGUGCAGGGUUGUGUGAGGAGCUGGUGGCAGAGCUUGGCAUUCUGGCUCUGGAGUCUGCAUUUGGCCAUCUCACCGUACAGUGUCAUAGAAACAGGAAACUCGAGAAGAUAAACUGCCAGGCUGUAUUUUGGAGUCAGUAUUUUAACACUGUCACCAUCUCAAGCAUGAUCUGUGGGACUCAUCACUGUGCUCUUUGACUUGAACUUCUUUAAGGUUAGUGGGAAAAUGAAGCUUUAGAGAAGAUGGGACUGGCCUAAGGUCACACUGCAUGUCAGAAGUGUGGUGGAGGGUCCAGGUCUUCUGACCAUUCAGUGCAAGCCAAAUUGUGCUAAUUUCCAAUUUUUCUCCCUUUCUCUUGGUGAGCUAUUUGGUGCUACUUCUACUCCUCAUGACCAAAGCUGGCUUUCAUGGUUUACUCAUGUACUUACUGAUGAAACCCUGAGACUUGGGGCCAGUGACUGUUCAGAGGUCCAUGUGAAGAUGCGCUGAAUGGUAUAAAGGACAGAGCAGUAAAGAGUGCUGGCUGAAUGCCUGGGCUGGCAAUCAGGCAUGUUGGAGUUUGAGUCCCAGUCUGCCACUCCAGCUCUGUGACCAAGAGGAAGUGAAGUCAUGUACCCUUUCUAAGUCUCUAGCCCCUCUUCUGAAAGACGAAGAUGCCACCACCAACCAUGUUAGUGGUUGUGAAUGCCAAGAAAGUCCAUGUGAAGCACAUAGCAUAGUGUCUGCCAUGCGUUAAGUGUUCCAAAAAUGGAAGCUAUGACUAUUUCACAGAGUACACUUCCCAUCACUUUUCAGUUCAUUUUGGCCUUCUCCCUCAAAAGCACUCCAGUGUUCUGAUCCAGCUGAUAAAACACCAAACAUUCACAUAGUGCUUUAAAAGUGACCCACUGUUUUUACAGACUGCAUUACAUAUGACCCUAACAACCACUGCAAUAUAGAAAUUCGCAUCUCCAUUCUCCAGAUCAGGAUACCGAAGCUCAGAAAAAUUAAAUGAUUUGCCCAGGAUCACAUAGUUAGUAAGCAGCCCAGCCAGAUCCUGUGUUAACUUGUUCAUCCGCUUCCUAUAAGAAAACAUCCAUUCAAGGCACAUGGGGCAACAAAGAAGGACUUAGAGCUGUGUGGCCCCUCGUCAGGGCAGUACCAGUUGCACCCAUAGUCCGGCCUGAAUACUCAGCUUAGGACUAUUGUGUCCAAUGUCCCAAACAUUUUGAAGCUACAUCUUAAAGAAGUGUCCUGCUCAGAUGCAGUUCUCCUUGUGAAAUCCGCAGGCCCCAAGGAAAGUGACUUUAAUCCAGUUUGCUCAUGCAAGAACAGACUGGCAUUUCACAUCCAGGAAAACAAUGGAUUUGUACUGUUCAGCUUUUGCCAUGCAAGGAGUUCCUGGUGUGGUUUAUUAAUUUACAUCUCAGGCUCCAGCUUCACUAUCAAUCAGAUUUGGAAGAAAAAAGUUACAAAGAAAGGCAGCUUGCUGAGAAACAGCGGAAGCAUGACGGUACAGACUGGGUUUUGAAAUGGAGACACAUUCUCAUGGCUUGUGGGCUGAGAGACACUGAGAAAGGAUUUUGUUCUUGAAAGAUGAUUGUUUUAAUGCUGGAGAUGGAGAGUUUUGACAAUUUUAAGUGCAUGUUCUGUGUGUAAGAAAGAGUCAUUACGUUUUUUUUUUCUUUCAGAUGUUGCCAUGCCUUAAAAUUGCUGAUGAUUAAAAUAGAACAUCCUGAGUUACAGAAAUUCAGCCCUAGUGUAUCCUGGCCUAAAAAUACAGAACAAUCAAGUUGAUUGUUGGAAAUGAGAGGCUAGGCAGGGUUGGAAACAUGCUAAUGUUUACUGAGUGAAAUCUUUCCUUCUCAGUAGAGUUGCCCUUGCAGCUGAAAGUCACUGAAAGACUCAACAAAAUAAGCAGAUCCCACUUGUCUCACUCUGUUCUCCUAUGCAUGCCCUGGAAAGAGAAUGAAUGAGCCCUUUUUAAUUUAUCAACUGGUUUUCUUCCAUCUCUUUACUAGUGAGCCAUGGGGGUUUUUUGCCGUUAACUGGGUAGCCAGUCUCUUCAUGGAGACUUAUUUUCAGGAAACUAGCCUCUUGCUUUAUGUGAAAACAAGGACCCAACUCAAGAUGUCUUAUCACAGUGUGUUCUGUUGCGUAACAGUUGCAUCUGUAGUCCAGCCUCAAUACUCAGGUUGGGACUGUUUUGUCCUGAUGUCUCGAACAUUUCAAAGCUACGUUCUUAAAGAAAUGUCCUGCUCAGAUAGAGCUCUCCUUGUGAAAUCCUCAAACCCCAGGGGAAGUGACCUUAAGCCAGUUUGCUGGCUUUUCAUGUCACAGAAAACAAUCGACUGCCACUACUCAGCUGUUGCCACACAGGAGUACCUGGCGUGGUCACUACUUGCCAACUCAGUACCCCACUUUCUCCCCAAGGACAUAAAAGCAAUGUGGGAAGAUAUACCAAAUGACCUUGUCACACUGGGCUAAUAUGAAGAGCCCACAGAUGCAAAAUAAUGUAUCAUACCUUUAUUCUUCUGAUUUUUUUUUUUUUUUUUUUUUUCGGAGACAGUCUCACUCUUUUGCCCAGGCUGGAAUCCAGUGGCGCGAUCUUGGCUCACUGCAACCUCUGCCACCCGGGUUCAGGCAAUUCUCCUGCCUCAGCCUCCCGCCCAGCUAAUUUUUGUAUUAUUAAUUAGUAGAGAGAGGGUUUCACCUUCUUGGCCAGGCUAGUCUUGAACUCCUGACCUCGUGAUACACCUGCCUUGGCCUCCCAAAGUGCUGGGAUUACAGGCGUGAGCCACCGUGCCUGGCCUUUUUUUUUUUUUUUUUUUUUUUUUUUUGAGAUGGAGUCUGGCUGUAUUGCCCAGGCUGGAGUGCAGUGGCAUGAUCUUGGCUCACUGCAACCUCUGCCUCCCAGGUUCAAGUGAUUCUCCUGCCUCAGCCUCCUGAGUAGCUGGGAUUGCAGGCAUCCCAUACCCGGCUAAUUUUUUUGAAACAGAGGCUUGCUCUGUCACCCAGGCUGGAGUGCAAUGGCACGAUCUCAGCUCAGUGCAACCUCCGCCUACUGGGCUCAAGCAACUCUCCUGCCUCGGCCUCAGCCUCACUACAGGCAUGUGCCACCACGCCUGGCUAGUUUGGUUUUUUUUUUUUGUAUUUUUUUAGUAGAUAUGGGGUUUCACCAUGUUGGCCAGGUUGGUCUCAAACUUCUGACCUCAAGUGAUCUGCCUGCCUCAGCCUCCCAAAAUGCUGGGAUUACAGGUAUGAGCCACCACGCUUAGCCUUCUGCUGAAUUUUUGAGAAGCAUACAUAAAGACAAUGUAAAAAACUUAGCAUAUUUGUUUGGCCCUGCUAAGGGCAUGGUUGAAUAUAUAGUGUGUGUGAUGUAUUUGGUGUAUGAGAUAUAUAUGAUCUUAUCAGACAUAAGUAAAAGAAAUUCAUUCUUCAGGAAAAAUUUUCCCCAUAACUGAAGUGUCAAUCAUUUGAAAAAACUUCUAGGCAGUAGGCAAACACUGUGACUAGUUAUUUAUCAAAAAUAAGCAGACUUUAGAGUUUUGUAACUGAUGAGAAUAAUCUGGCUGCUUCUUUUGUACUUCAGUCACUGAUACUGCGAAUUAGAGUAGCAUAUACAGAAGGAUGCAGGGGGUCCCUAAAGGAAUCACAGAAUUAGUGAAACCAUUAUUUGAGAGUUGCAGUGAUUCUUCUGUCCUGGCACUUUUCCCAGUUUUGGUGCUUAAAUUUACUAUCCACUUGAAAUGUGUCACUGCCUGUCACUUCACAAAGUAUGUGCCUUUCACUGCAGUCAACAAGCUGUUUACAUCUUUGAUGAAAUGAUUGCCACGCAUCUCCAUAGCCCUGGUGUUCUAUUCCCUUAUUCACAGAGAUUUUUUUUAAAAACCAGCCUAGCAGCAAUAGGUAUGUGCUGUGGAUGCUUCUCCAUGAUGAUAAAGGAUGAGUUUGUGCUGGGAUCUCCUUAUGAAAAGAUAACUGGCCAAGCCCAUGAGGAACAAGAAUGUUAUGCUAAUCAGACCCAAGGUAAACAGCCUGCAGUGCACCUCCUGACUGAUUAGCACUGAACCCACUUGGAAUCAUCAACCACAGGCACGUGGUAAUUGGAUGUUCUUCUAAUACACAUAGUGAGAUUGUAAAAUGAGGAUGAUAUAUGAGGAAAGUCAGACGGAGAAACUAAAGUUCAGUUCUUAAAUACAAGCCAAGGGAACAGACUAAGUGAAUGGUACAGCCAGGAUUGGAGCCUGGUUUUCACAAGGUGGUAUGUCAUGAUAAAACAAGCCAAAGAAAAGGUUGGGUAGUGUUUUGAGGCUAAAAGAGACCAAAGAGUCUUAGUGAAUCAACCUUGAUGCGAUCUGGGUUUGAAAAACCUAUAAAAAACCUUUUGUUUGGAGAAAGUGGGAGAAGUUGGAUGUAGGCUGGAUAUUUGUGGGUACCAAGGAAUUGUUUGUUUUCUUAGGUAUGGUAAGAUUUUGUGGUUAUGUAGAAGAGUGUCUUCAUUUUAUAGAACGACCUCAAAGUAGUUAGGAGCAGUGUAUGUAUGGGUGGUUAUCAAUUUACUUUCAAACAAUGCAGCAAAAAAUAUGUAUCUAUAUUACAUAUAAUUAAAGCAAAACAUGAUAAAAAGGAAUAGUUAUUGAAUUUAGAUAGUAUGGAUUUAGGAAUUCAUUGUAUUGUCAUUCCAAUUUAAUGUAUAAAAUUUUUUAUAACAGUUUAUAAAAACAGUGCACACCCCUUUAAUUAGGUGGCCUGGGUACAUGAAGUAUCUUUUUGGAUGCCUAGAACACAAAAAGGGACGACAACAGGCCACCUAAUAAGAUGAUACCAAGAACUAUACCAUGACGGCGAAAAAGAACUGCUGCAAAAAAUAAUUUGCCAAGGAGAACUCAGAGUACAAAGCCUUACCUUUGGAGUAGAGGGAAGGAGAGUCUUAAGUAAAGCUCACAAAAACCCCUAACUCAUAGAUGCAGUCUAAGGAAUUCAUUCCGGAAGCGACAUUAGCAUCUCAUUAGUGCCAUUAUGUGACUUACUUGGCCUCUGAGCUAGUCUAUUUUCUUCCCUAGACCCCAAAAUCUCAGUAAUCCUUUGGAUCCAAGUUAUCUCCAAGUGAAAAUAAUAGGUUUAGGAAAGCGUUUUUCUUCAACUUCUAUGGAGCACUUGCUUGCUUUGUCCUAUUUGCAUGUCCGACGGACGGUUCUCCAGCACCACUGCUAGUCGUCCUCCGCCUGCCUGGGUACUUGAUCACAGGAUGCCUCUGACUUCUCCUGCCUUUACCCAAGCAAAGGAUUUUCCUUGUCUUCCCACCCAAGAGUGACGGGGCUGACAUGUGCCCUUGCCUCUAAAUGAUGAAGCUGAACCUUUGUCUGGGCAACUUAACUUAAGAAUAAGGGAGUCCCAGGCAUGCUCUCCCAUCAAUAACAAAUUCAGUGACAUCAGUUUAUGAAUAUAUGAAAUUUGCCAAAGCUCUGUUUAGACCACUGAGUAACUCACAGCUAGGUUUCAACUUUUCCUUUCUAGGUUGUCUUGGGUUUAUUGUAAGAGAGCAUUAUGAAGAAAAAAAUAGAUCAUAAAGCUUCUUCAGGAAGCUGGUUUCAUAUGGUGGUUUAGAUUUAAAUAGUGAUUGUCUAGCACCAUUUGAAAUCAGUGUUCUUGGGGGAGACCAGCUGCGCUGCACUACCAACAGCAAAAGAAGUGAAUGGGACAGCUCUGAAGUAUUUGAAAGCAACAGCAGGAUGGCUGUGAGAACCUGCCUCACAUGUAGCUGACCCCUUCCUCACCCCUGCCAACAGUGGUGGCAUAUAUCACAAAUGGCAGUCAGGUCUCUGCACUGGCGGAUCCAACUGUGAUCGAAAGUUUUCCAAAAAUAAGUUGUGUCUGUAUUGAACAUGAACAGACUUUCUUCUUGUCAUUAUUCUCUAACAAUACUGCAUAACAAUUAUUUGCAUACAUUUGCAUUGCAUUAAGUAUUCUAAGUAAUCUAGAGACGAUUUAAAGUAUACGGGAGGAUGUGUGUAGGUUGUAUGCAAAUACUACACCAUUUUCUAUCAGAGACUUGAGCAUCUGUGGAUUUUGGUAUCCAAGGGGCUUUCUGGAACCAAUCCCUCAAGGAUACCAAGGGAUGAAUGUAAUUGUACAGGAUAUCGCAUUGUUGGAAUUUUAUACUUCUUUGUGGAAUAAACCUAUAGCACUUAAUAGAUAGUACAGACUCAUUCCAUUGUGCCUGGGUUAAAGAGCCCAAUGUAUGCUGGAUUUAGUAAGAUUUGGGCCCUCCCAACCCUCACGACCUUCUGUGACCCCUUAGAGGAUGACUGAUUUCUUUUGGUGUUCAGAGUCAAUAUAAUUUUCUAGCACCAUCUGAAAUCGGUUAUAAUGAUUGGGGAAGAGCACCAUGAUGCUGACUGCUGAGAGGAAAUGUAUUGGUGACCGUUGGGGCCAUGGACAAGAACUAAGAAAACAAAUGCAAAGCAAUAAUGCAAAGGUGAUUUUUCUUCUUCCAGUUUCUAAGUUGAAUUUCACUGACCUGAAUUGCAUGUGGUAUAAUACUAACAAAUGGUUCACUAUUAGCAUAUCAUGAAUGGUUAUACUUUAUAGAAAUUCCAUAGACUUGGUGGGGGUUUUGUUUUGGUGACGGAUACCUAGAAACACUCCUGGGGAAAAUCGAUGACUGGCUUAGAUGAUGGGAAAGGAGCAGCGAGGGAGUCAAUUCUGUUGUUGAUGAGAAGCUGCACCAGCUAUCUCUGAACUCUCCUCUCUUAGCUGGCUGAGGAGUUCCCUCCAUGGUUAAACAGGUCAUUUUCUUACAUAAGGAAAAAUGGUCCAGAGAAACUGGGUUUCUAUGGCUGAGACAGAACUGUGCUAAUAUGUGUCAGUUCAGUUUAGAAGGCAAAGCAACAAAAGCAGGUGCUACUUGAACUAGGAUCCUAGAGUAUACCUUUGAUAUGGUUUGGAUGUUUGUCCCCUCCAAUCUCAUGUUGAAGUGUGAUCCCCAGUAUUGGGGGUGGGGCCUGGUGGGGGUGGUUGAGUGAUGGGGCGGAUCCCUUGUGAAUGGCUUGGUGAUGUCCUCACUUAACGAGUUCCUGCUCAGUUAGAGGGAGCCGGUUGUUUAAAAAAGCUGGCACCUCCUUCCUCUCUCUUGCUCUUUCUUUCUUGCUCCCUCUCUCGCCAUGUGACAUGUCUGCUCCCUCUCCGCCUUCCACCAUGUAUAAAACAUCCUGAGGCCUCAUCAGGAGCCGAGCAGGUACCAGUGCCAUGCUUGUACGGCUGCAAAACUGUAAGCCAAAUAAACCUCUUUACUAUAUAAAUUACCCAGUCUCGGGUAUGUCUUUAUAGCAGCGCAAAACGGACUAACACAACCUCACUAGAAGUGAAGUCAUUAGACCAAAAACAAUACUGAGUUUUUAGGUCCACUAAGAGGCAAAAAUAAAAGGCUCUUUAUAGCAGCAUGAUUUAUAAUCCUUUGGGUAUAAGCACAUGUAUGCUAGAACUUAAAGUAUAAUAAUAAAAUAUAAAAAUAAUAAAAUAAAAUAAAAGGCUCAAGAAUGAGCCAUCUCGGCCGCUCCUCCUCCAGGGGCCCCUGUGUGCAGCUCCCAACACAGGUACUGCACAGACCGGCCACCUGCUGUCCCCAUGUGGCGUCCUGGAGAACUGCAGGGGCACCUGGUGGAAUUUGGGCCUUGUCCUUCUGUUUUCUUUCUGGCCUGGAAAAGCCACUGGCCUCACAAUCAAGAGUUAAUAUUCUAUCUACCCUGCUUAAGCUUUCCCGCCCUCUCACACUGCCUCCCUCCUUUUCCCUCCUGCCUGUCACUUGUCUGGAAAAGGCCUUUUCUCCUCGGGGCUAACACAUGCAAUUUGUAGCCAAAACAUUCUGUCUACCACACAAAUCCAACGAGAAUCAGGAUCAUUCCACCACAUCUUUUUCUAUCCCAUGGUUAUUAUUUUCCCAAAACUCUUGUCUUUUGCUUUCUUACCUAUUCGCUGUUUUCCCUAAGUAAUCUUAUUUACUCCCCUGGUUCCAAAUACAUCCCUAUGUGUUGAUUUCCCUCAAACCAGAGGUCUGGCCUGGGAUAUUUUUUGAGACAUCUUGCUUUUUAUAUUUUUAGUAGCUCCUAAGUAUAAUAGUUCAGCCUGCUCUUCUAAACUUGUCUCAAUUUAAUCCAUUUAUGCUUGAGGUUGCAAUUUUUUGAAUUUUUGCCAUCAGACCUUGGCAAUGACCUUGAGCAGUAGGAGACAACUCCCACAUGCUUAGCAUUCCAAUAAUGGAACACUAGGCAUAUACCAAAGCCAUCCACAUUGCCUUCUCCCCAAAGCCAGCUCUCCCUGCUCUGCCCCAUGGUGAAAGCUGCGAACACCAGAGGUCUGUGACCUCUUCCCUCUCCCUUACCCACAUCCAUACUCAGCACAACUUGUUGCUGUUCUCUCUCAAUUCUCUCUUUAGGAUCCAUCCCUUUCUCUGCUCUUCCUAGACAGCUUUCUGGGCCCACCCCUCGCCAUUAGUCUAGCUUUGUUAUAGCCACCAGUUAAUCUUUGUAAAAUACAUACGUGAGCUGGGCACGGUGGCUGGUGCCUGUAAUCCCAGCUACUCAGGAGGCUGGGGCAGGAGGUUGCUUGAGCCCAAGAGGUUGAGGCUGCAAUGAGCCAUGAUUGCAUCACUGCACUCCAGCCUGGACGACAGACCAAGAUCCCAUCUCUUUAAAAAAUAAAAAUAAAAAUUGUUUAACCACAUGACCUUGCUCCUUGUCCCUCACUUUUAGCUGAACUCUUAUAAGUGUGUCAACCAGGUACCAGACCCUUCAUGACCCCAUGCCUACCUGUGUCACCAUCUUCUGGCUGUGCUUCCUGGGGCCUGUGUUCUGUGCUCACCCAGCUGCUUGCUGCUGAGAACACUCAGGUAUCUUGGCAUUUCUUAGCCUGUGUCUGUGCUAUUUCCUCUGCCCACAUCUCCCCUCUCCUCCUCCUCGUCAGCUAGGGACCUCCAGCCCCUAGGGACUGUAAGCUAGGGACCUCCAACCUGCAGCCCCUGGCUCAGGUGUAAACUUGUCUAGGAAGCCUUCCUCUGCCUUCUGCAUCAAGGCUUAGAUCCCUGGGCAAAGGCUUUCUUCUCUGUACCCCUUCAGAGCCUGAUGGCACUUCGCAUGUUAUAUUCUCAUGAUUGAUUACCUACUAGGCUUCUCUGCAAGGCUGGAAAAUCCUUGCUCCUAGGAGGGACGGUAGACAAGAACAAGACAUACUGUGUACACUCCAUUCUUACAUUCCACGUGAGCUAUCCUUUGUGUAGGUGUCUGUGGCAAAUCUUCCUUCUAGGCUGCAGCCUCUACUUUUCAUAGUUUCUCUCCAUUUUCAUCUGCCAUGUGCAUGAGGAAUAAAAACUACUUCCAAUGAUGACCAAAAUAAGAUGGAAGAAAAUAACCCUGCUUCAAAGAACAUUUCUGAGACCAUAAAUAUGAUUUUGAUGUAUCUUCCAUUAUGGAUUACCCAUGUGGUUUUUUUUUUCCUUCUAAAUGCAUAAACAGGAAUUGUUUAAUAGGCUAGAGAGCCAUGAAAAGCAAAAUAAUUAAGGAUUGUUGUCCUCAUUUCAUAGAAGAGCAAACAAAGACAGAAAAACAGAUGUGCCUUAACCAAAAAGGGCAGUAAAUUUAUGCAAAGCAGACUGAACCCCCAUUAAAAGUAAUCAUUUACAGCGACCAAGGGCCAAGCACGUGAUCACCACCCUCCUCUCCCAAUAGCUCUGAAGGGUGGGUAGUAUUUCCCCAGCUUAUGCACGAGGAAACAGAUGCACAGGAAAGUCAAGUAACUUGCCUGCAAUGCCACGGCUAGUCAACAUGAGAGUUUGAAUUACAAAUCAGGUGGCGGUGGCGGUGGUGAUGAUGAUGAUAAUAGCAGCUUAUCAUCAUCAUUGAGCUCUUAUUUUGUGUUAGAUACUUGGUAAGUAUUUUGCAUGAAUUAGCUCAUUUAGUCUGACUUUCAAAACAGCCCUUUGAGGUCAGUGUUAUUAUCAUCAUUCCCAUUUUGCCAUGAAGAAACAAAAGAAUUAAAUAAUCCAAGAUCGUCUAACUGACAUUUCCAAGCAGGAGCACAAACCCAGAUCUCUGUGAUUCCAGAGCCUGUGCUCUUAAAUCAGCACUGCUCAUUUCAGUGUGGGAGAUGGCGUAAAUGGGUGUGUUCACUUGCUGGGCAGCCUCAUCUGUGGUCCCCUUGAUCCCCACCUACUGGCAUUCAUGCCCUGUGCUAUUCCCUCCCCUGGAGUGUGGACUGGACCUAGUAAUUUGCUUCUAAUGGAUGGAAUAUGUCAAAAGUGAUAGAUGUCACUUCUGAGACUAGGUUACAAAUAGACUGUGAUUCUGUUGUCUUCUUCCUCAGGCUUGCACCCUCACGACAUGCUCUCUCUCUCUCCCUCUCCUCUUUUCUCUCUUCUCUCCCUUCUCUCCUCUCUCUUAUCUCUCUCUUCUCUCUCUCGUACACAUACUCUGGAAAGCCAGCUACCAUACUGGGAACUGCCCAAUGGAGAGGCCCACAUUCCACAAGGAACUGAUGUCUUCAGCCAAUACCUCGCCAGGACCUGAGGCCUGCUGAGAGUCACGAGUGGCCUUCGUGGGUCCUCUCUCAACGAGCUUGCAGGUGACCACUGCGCCAGCCAAAACCUUGAUGGCAGCCUAUGAAUGCUGGUGGGAUGGAGCUGCAGUUUGUGUCUCUGAAGCAGAUUAAACACUGUCUGCCCCAGCCUGUCUUAACUAUCUUCUCACUGGUUAACAGUCCUUGGAAGAAUAAACAAUCCACACAAGCUCUCAGAAAGCAGAAGUUCCAUGAUUCGUGACCAGAGUCUCAUAGCACAGAAUUCAUCUCUAAAAACAGG